AUACGAACCGUACAAACGUUAUUCGGAAUCACUGGGCUUAAAGGGUGCGUAGGCGGCUUGGAUAGUUGGGUGUGAAAUCCCUCGGCUCAACCGAGGAACUGCGCCCAAAACUGCCGUGCUAGAGGGAGACAGAGGUGAGCGGAACUUAGGGUGGAGCGGUGAAAUGCGUUGAUAUCCUAAGGAACACCGGUGGCGAAAGCGGCUCACUGGGUCUCUUCUGACGCUGAGGCACGGAAGCUAGGGUAGCGAACGGGAUUAGAAACCCCGGUAGUCC
RNAcentral lists this ribosomal RNA (274 nucleotides) under uncultured bacterium. Its description in RNAcentral is "partial 16S ribosomal RNA". It matches the Rfam family "Bacterial small subunit ribosomal RNA", at positions 523 to 796 of the family's 1533-position model. The record is from RNAcentral.